GGUACAGGUCCUGUUGCCUGUGGGGGUUGGGGAAGACUGUGAGGGCAGUCACGGGCUGAGAGCUCUGUCCCCAAACCCAGUUCCAGAUUCGUCCCAGAGUUUAUCACCAGGCUCCUCCAUCCACCUGCCCAGUCCUGCUGAGCGAGCUUCAGCUAAAGGCUCAGCCCACAGCAGAGCACUCCAGGCCCCGGGGCUCCGCCUUUGGCUACAUACUCCACAUGGUCCUGGCCAUCCCAGCACAGGCUACACCCUCGUCCUCCUUCCUCAGCCACAUCCCAGAAACCUUCCAGGUCAUUUUCUCCAGGAAGCUUUCCACAGCCGCAGCAUCAGCCCUCCUCUAGCACUAAAUGUCUUUGUCACCCCAAAGCAGGAGCUCCCCAGGGCAGGGCCUGCCUUAUCGGUCUCACUGGAUUUCAUGGUUCUUGGGGAAGGCUUGGAAGCCAGCUGUGCCUCAGCCCUUUCUCUUGUCUCUGCAUCCAAAAGAAUAAAAUCUGUACCCUAGACCUGCUCCU
This 512-nucleotide non-coding RNA is filed under the name Pan troglodytes (chimpanzee). Lineage: Eukaryota; Metazoa; Chordata; Mammalia; Primates; Hominidae. The record is from RNAcentral.